GGUUAAGUUAAUAAGGGCGCACGGUGGAUGCCUUGGCACUAGGAGCCGACGAAGGACGUGACAAACGACGAUAUGCCUUGGGUAGCUGUAAGUAAGCGAUGAUCCAGGGAUUUCCGAAUGGGGGAACCCAACAGGUAAUACCUGUUACCUACAUCUGUUAAGGAUGUGAGGAGGAAGACGCAGUGAACUGAAACAUCUAAGUAGCUGCAGGAAGAGAAAGCAAAAGCGAUUGCCUUAGUAGCGGCGAGCGAAACGGCAGAAGGGCAAACCGAAGAGUUUACUCUUCGGGGUUGUAGGACUGCAAUGUGGACUCAAAGAUUAUAGAAGAAUGAUUUGGGAAGAUCAGCCAAAGAGAGUAAUAGCCUCGUAUUUAAAAUAGUCUUUGUACUUAGCAGUAUCCUGAGUACGGCGGGACACGUGAAAUCCCGUCGGAAUCUGGGAGGACCAUCUCCCAACCCUAAAUACUCCCUAGUGACCGAUAGUGAACCAGUACCGUGAGGGAAAGGUGAAAAGCACCCCGGGAGGGGAGUGAAAUAGAACCUGAAACCGUGUGCCUACAACAAGUUCGAGCCCGUUAAUGGGUGAGAGCGUGCCUUUUGUAGAAUGAACCGGCGAGUUACGUUAUGAUGCGAGGUUAAGUUGAAGAGACGGAGCCGUAGGGAAACCGAGUCUGAAUAGGGCGCCUUAGUAUCAUGACGUAGACCCGAAACCAUGUGACCUACCCAUGAGCAGGUUGAAGGUGCGGUAAGACGCACUGGAGGACCGAACCAGGGCACGUUGAAAAGUGCUUGGAUGACUUGUGGGUAGCGGAGAAAUUCCAAACGAACUUGGAGAUAGCUGGUUCUCUCCGAAAUAGCUUUAGGGCUAGCGUCGACAUUAGAGAUUCUUGGAGGUAGAGCACUGUUUGGGUGAGGGGUCCAUCCCGGAUUACCAAUCUCAGAUAAACUCCGAAUGCCAAUGAAUUAUGGUCGGCAGUCAGACUGCGAGUGCUAAGAUCCGUAGUCGAAAGGGAAACAGCCCAGACCACCAGCUAAGGUCCCAAAAUAAUUGUUAAGUGGAAAAGGAUGUGGGGUUGCACAGACAACUAGGAUGUUAGCUUAGAAGCAGCUAUUCAUUCAAAGAGUGCGUAAUAGCUCACUAGUCGAGUGACCCUGCGCCGAAAAUGUACCGGGGCUAAAACAAUUUACCGAAGCUGUGGAUACCUUUAUAGGUAUGGUAGGAGAGCGUUCUAUGUGUGAUGAAGGUAUACCGUGAGGAGUGCUGGAACGCAUAGAAGUGAGAAUGCCGGUAUGAGUAGCGAAAGACAGGUGAGAAUCCUGUCCACCGUAAGACUAAGGUUUCCAGGGGAAGGCUCGUCCGCCCUGGGUUAGUCGGGACCUAAGGAGAGACCGAAAGGUGUAUCCGAUGGACAACAGGUUGAUAUUCCUGUACUAGAGUAUGUAGUGAUGGAGGGACGCAGUAGGCUAACUAAAGCAGACGAUUGGAAGAGUCUGUCUAAGCAGUGAGGUGUGAAUUGAGUCAAAUGCUUAAUUCUAUAACAUUGAGCUGUGAUGGGGAGCGAAGUUUAGUAGCGAAGUUAGUGACGUCACACUGCCAAGAAAAGCUUCUAGCGUUUAAACAUACUCUACCCGUACCGCAAACCGACACAGGUAGUCGAGGCGAGUAGCCUCAGGUGAGCGAGAGAACUCUCGUUAAGGAACUCGGCAAAAUGACCCCGUAACUUCGGGAGAAGGGGUGCUGACUUUAAGUCAGCCGCAGUGAAUAGGCCCAAGCAACUGUUUAUCAAAAACACAGCUCUCUGCUAAAUCGUAAGAUGAUGUAUAGGGGGUGACGCCUGCCCGGUGCUGGAAGGUUAAGAGGAGUGCUUAGCGUAAGCGAAGGUAUGAAUUGAAGCCCCAGUAAACGGCGGCCGUAACUAUAACGGUCCUAAGGUAGCGAAAUUCCUUGUCGGGUAAGUUCCGACCCGCACGAAAGGCGUAAUGAUUUGGGCACUGUCUCAACGAGAGACUCGGUGAAAUUUUAGUACCUGUGAAGAUGCAGGUUACCCGCGACAGGACGGAAAGACCCCAUGGAGCUUUACUGCAGUUUGAUAUUGAGUGUCUGUACCACAUGUACAGGAUAGGUAGGAGUCUAAGAGAUCGGGACGCCAGUUUCGAAGGAGACGCUGUUGGGAUACUACCCUUGUGUUAUGGCCACUCUAACCCAGAUAGGUGAUCCCUAUCGGAGACAGUGUCUGACGGGCAGUUUGACUGGGGCGGUCGCCUCCUAAAAGGUAACGGAGGCGCCCAAAGGUUCCCUCAGAAUGGUUGGAAAUCAUUCGCAGAGUGUAAAGGUAUAAGGGAGCUUGACUGCGAGAGCUACAACUCGAGCAGGGACGAAAGUCGGGCUUAGUGAUCCGGUGGUUCCGUAUGGAAGGGCCAUCGCUCAACGGAUAAAAGCUACCCUGGGGAUAACAGGCUUAUCUCCCCCAAGAGUUCACAUCGACGGGGAGGUUUGGCACCUCGAUGUCGGCUCGUCGCAUCCUGGGGCUGUAGUCGGUCCCAAGGGUUGGGCUGUUCGCCCAUUAAAGCGGCACGCGAGCUGGGUUCAGAACGUCGUGAGACAGUUCGGUCCCUAUCCGUCGCGGGCGUAGGAAAUUUGAGAGGAUCUGCUCCUAGUACGAGAGGACCAGAGUGGACUUACCGCUGGUGUACCAGUUGUCUUGCCAAAGGCAUCGCUGGGUAGCUAUGUAGGGAAGGGAUAAACGCUGAAAGCAUCUAAGUGUGAAACCCACCUCAAGAUGAGAUUUCCCAUGAUUAUAUAUCAGUAAGAGCCCUGAGAGAUGAUCAGGUAGAUAGGUUAGAAGUGGAAGUGUGGCGACACAUGUAGCGGACUAAUACUAAUAGCUCGAGGACUUAUCC
RNAcentral lists this ribosomal RNA (2900 nucleotides) under Streptococcus pneumoniae. RNAcentral describes it as "partial 23S ribosomal RNA". It matches the Rfam family "Bacterial large subunit ribosomal RNA". RNAcentral also lists the same sequence under 1 other name. The record is from RNAcentral. Lineage: Bacteria; Bacillati; Bacillota; Bacilli; Lactobacillales; Streptococcaceae.